This 253-nucleotide ribosomal RNA is filed under the name uncultured bacterium. RNAcentral's name for it is "partial 16S ribosomal RNA". It matches the Rfam family "Bacterial small subunit ribosomal RNA", at positions 524 to 776 of the family's 1533-position model. The record is from RNAcentral.
UACGGGGGGGGCAAGCGUUGUUCGGAAUUACUGGGCGUAAAGGGCUCGUAGGUGGCCAACUAAGUCAAUCGUGAAAUCCCUCGGCUUAACCGGGGAACUGCGCUUGAUACUGGAUGGCUUGAGUUUGGGAGAGGGAUGCGGAAUUCCAGGUGUAGCGGUGAAAUGCGUAGAUAUCUGGAGGAACACCGGUGGCGAAGGCGGCAUCCUGGACUGCACCUGACGCUGACACGCGAAAGCUAGGGGAGCGAACGGG